UUUACUGCUGGUAUUGAAGAGCCACUGACUUUGAGAAUUACCAUAUAACCAUUUUCUAAUACUGAAAUGUAGGAUCCAAAUGAUUUAAAUUACUAUAUCAACUCACUGGGGAUCUAAUUAAUUUACAAAGAGGAAAGACAACUUCAUAAAAUCAAAAGAGAAUCAUAUACUUGUGUUUCAUGCUCCACACUCAUAUUUUAGGAUAUAAUGCAGAAAUAAAUAUUUAAAUUCAGAGAAAAACAGCUAAUACUACACUUUCCAUAUCAGUGUCUUCUGGCCUGAUGUCACAAAAUUGAGGGAGGUAGGGGAAGGCAGUAUUUUAAAAACCAAUGAUUGCUGUAGAGUUCUGGCAGCAUGCAUAUUAGUCUGGCACAAAGUGAACAGCAAUACAUACAGUGGCUAUACAAA
RNAcentral lists this long non-coding RNA (408 nucleotides) under Bos taurus (domestic cattle). Its description in RNAcentral is "long non-coding RNA NONBTAT025297". The record is from RNAcentral. Lineage: Eukaryota; Metazoa; Chordata; Mammalia; Artiodactyla; Bovidae.